UAGAAUUAUUCGAAGAAUAAUAUGUUAAGAAGUUUAUUAACAAAGAGGAAACGGAGAAAAAUCCCUAAGAACUAUGCCAUCCUAAAGGUGAAACCAAUGAGGCAAGAAGCCGUGGCGGGGAGUAACCAGAGUAGAGGCGCUGUUUAAGGGAAAAAGUAUCCAAAUUACCAUGCUAAUAGUGAUCGACGAACAUAUUAUUUAAGAAUAAUCUAGUAUAUAGUAAUCUAAGAUGACCAUAUUUUGUUAUGUACAUGGUUGAAGGGAAUAUUUUGAAAAAAACAAUUUUAUGAAAAUGAAUAAUUAUUUAUCUGAUGUGAUGGUAGAUAAAUUUAAAAUACUUAUUUUGUAUGCACUUAAAGAUAUAAAAGUAGCAGAUAUAAGAAAAGUCAUAUUAGAAAAAGCAUUUGGUGAAU
Molecule: long non-coding RNA, 413 nt
Filed under: Capsicum annuum
Lineage: Eukaryota; Viridiplantae; Streptophyta; Magnoliopsida; Solanales; Solanaceae
Description: long non-coding RNA (CANN_LNC006883)
Source: RNAcentral